This 1557-nucleotide ribosomal RNA is filed under the name Ichthyophis sp. KUHE 39361. RNAcentral's name for it is "16S rRNA". It matches the Rfam family "Bacterial large subunit ribosomal RNA". The record is from RNAcentral. Lineage: Eukaryota; Metazoa; Chordata; Amphibia; Gymnophiona; Ichthyophiidae.
ACUACACAGCUAGCUCAAACAUUAAACUUCCACACAAAAAAUCUAAAACAUUCAUAAAAAUAGUAUAGGCGAUAGAAGUAAACACCUGAAGCAAUAGAGAAAGUACCGCAAGGGAAAGCUGAAAAAGAAAUUAAACAAACCAUAAAAGUACAAAAAAGCAAGGAUCAACCCCCGUACCUUUUGCAUCAUGGUCUAGUAAGUAAACUGUGGCAAAAAGACCUUUAGUCCCCCUCCCCGAAACUAGAUGAGCUAUUUAAGAGCAGCUACACGAGCAAACCCGUCUAUGUGGCAAAAUAGUGGGGAGACUCUUAAAUAGAGGUGACAAGCCAAACGAAUCUAGUGAUAGCUGGUUACUUAAUAAGUAAGUUUUAGCUUAACCUUAAACCUUAUCAUAAUGACAAAAAUACAGAUUAAAGUUCAAGAGCAUUCAUAAGAGGUACAGCUCUUAUGAAAAAGGAAACAACCUACAACACUGGGUAAUGAUUAUAAUAUUGUAAAAACACCAAGUAGGCCUAAAAGCAGCCAUCUACAAGAAAGCGUCACAGCUCACAACAUUAAAAAUACCAAUAUAACACCAAAACCCACAACAAUAAUUAAGUUCAACCAUAUAAUGGAUAAAUUAAUACUAGAAUUAGUAAUAAGAAAACAUGAUUUUCUCUCCGCGAACCUAUAAAUCAGAUUGAACUAAUCACUGAUAAUAACCGACCCAUUAAUGGAAAUAAAUACUAACAAUAAACAAGAAAAACAUUAAAUAAAAACAUCGUUAAACCUACACAGGCUCGCAAUAAGAAAGACAAAAAGACAAAGAAGGAACUCAGCAAACAUCAAACCUCGCCUGUUUACCAAAAACAUCGCCUCUAGGUAAAACUAAUAUUAGAGGUACUGCCUGCCCAGUGAUACAUUCAACGGCCGCGGUAUUUUGACCGUGCAAAGGUAGCAUAAUCACUUGUCCCCUAAAUAGAGACUAGUAUGAACGGCAAAACGAAGGUCUAGCUGUCUCCUUUGUCUACUCAAUGAAAUUGAUCUUACAGUACAAAAGCUGUAAUAAAACAACAAGACGAGAAGACCCUAUGGAGCUUAAAACGCACUAGGAAGUCAAUAAUAUUUACAAAUAUACAACUAAUCCUACACUGUUUUUGGUUGGGGCGACCACGGAGAAUAAUCAACCCCCGAGAUGAAAUACCAGGAAAACAAUCCAAAACACCAGAAAACUGACAUAAUUGACCCAAUAACCUUGAUCAACGAACCAAGUUACCCUAGGGAUAACAGCGCUAUCCUCUUUAAGAGCCCGUAUCGACAAGAGGGCUUACGACCUCGAUGUUGGAUCAGGAUAACCUGACAGUGUAACCGCCGUCAAAGGUUUGUUUGUUCAACAAUUAAAAUCCUACGUGAUCUGAGUUCAGACCGGAGUAAUCCAGGUCAGUUUCUAUCUGUUAUGUAGUUUUUUCUAGUACGAAAGGACCGAAAAAACAUGGCCAAUGCAACAUGCAUGCCAUCAAAAAAUCAAUGAAAUCAACUAAAAUUAAAACACAAAACACGCCUCAAGAUACAGAGGCU